AAAGUUUGAUCCUGGCUCAGAUUGAACGCUGGCGGAAUGCUUUACACAUGCAAGUCAAACGGCAGCACGGGAGCUUGCUCCUGGUGGCGAGUGGCGAACGGGUGAGUAAUACAUAGGAACAUACCCAGUAAGGGGGGAUAACGCCGAGAAAUCGGUGCUAAUACCGCAUACGCCCUACGGAGGAAAGCGGGGGAUCUUCGGACCUCGCGUUAUUGGAUUGGCCUAUGUCUGAUUAGCUAGUUGGUGAGGUAAAGGCUCACCAAGGCUUCGAUCAGUGGCUGGUCUGAGAGGAUGAUCAGCCACACUGGAACUGAGACACGGUCCAGACUCCUACGGGAGGCAGCAGUGGGGAAUUUUGGACAAUGGGCGAAAGCCUGAUCCAGCCAUUCCGCGUGAGUGAARAAGGCCUUCGGGUUGUAAAGCUCUUUCGGCAGGAACGAAAUGGUCACGGUUAAUAACCGUGACUUCUGACGGUACCUGAAGAAGAAGCACCGGCUAACUACGUGCCAGCAGCCGCGGUAAUAC
RNAcentral lists this ribosomal RNA (525 nucleotides) under uncultured Hydrogenophilaceae bacterium. RNAcentral's name for it is "bacterial SSU rRNA". It matches the Rfam family "Bacterial small subunit ribosomal RNA", at positions 8 to 526 of the family's 1533-position model. Lineage: Bacteria; Pseudomonadati; Pseudomonadota; Hydrogenophilia; Hydrogenophilales; Hydrogenophilaceae. The record is from RNAcentral.